GACGAACCGAGCGACCGUUAUUCGGAAUCACUGGGCUUAAAGGGCGCGUAGGCGGGCGGCCGAGUCCGGGGUGAAAGCCCCCAGCUCAACUGGGGAAGUGCCUCGGAUACUGGUCGCCUCGAGGGAGAUAGGGGCGUGCGGAACUUCCGGUGGAGCGGUGAAAUGCGUAGAUAUCGGAAGGAACACCGGUGGCGAAAGCGGCGCGCUGGAUCUCUUCUGACGCUGAGGCGCGAAAGCCAGGGGAGCGAACGGG
This 253-nucleotide ribosomal RNA is filed under the name uncultured bacterium. RNAcentral describes it as "partial 16S ribosomal RNA". It matches the Rfam family "Bacterial small subunit ribosomal RNA", at positions 524 to 776 of the family's 1533-position model. The record is from RNAcentral.